Non-coding RNA from Schistosoma rodhaini, 46 nucleotides. The record is from Rfam. Lineage: Eukaryota; Metazoa; Platyhelminthes; Trematoda; Strigeidida; Schistosomatidae.
GCACUGCUGAGGAGUCCUAUAGUAGGACGAAAUGGCCGUCCAGUGC